UGGCCUAUCCUAACAUGACUUCAAAGACCAGU
This 32-nucleotide non-coding RNA is filed under the name Mus musculus (house mouse). Lineage: Eukaryota; Metazoa; Chordata; Mammalia; Rodentia; Muridae. The record is from RNAcentral.